GGAGAUUUAGCUCAGUGGUAGAGCACUUGCCUAGCAAGCGCAAGGCCCUGGGUUCGAUUCCCAGCUCCG
Molecule: transfer RNA, 69 nt
Filed under: Rattus norvegicus (Norway rat)
Lineage: Eukaryota; Metazoa; Chordata; Mammalia; Rodentia; Muridae
Rfam family: tRNA
About the family: Transfer RNA (tRNA) molecules are approximately 80 nucleotides in length. Their secondary structure includes four short double-helical elements and three loops (D, anti-codon, and T loops). Further hydrogen bonds mediate the characteristic L-shaped molecular structure. tRNAs have two regions of fundamental functional importance: the anti-codon, which is responsible for specific mRNA codon recognition, and the 3' end, to which the tRNAs corresponding amino acid is attached (by aminoacyl-tRNA synthetases). tRNAs cope with the degeneracy of the genetic code in two manners: having more than one tRNA (with a specific anti-codon) for a particular amino acid; and 'wobble' base-pairing, i.e. permitting non-standard base-pairing at the 3rd anti-codon position.
Source: Rfam by way of RNAcentral